Molecule: ribosomal RNA, 503 nt
Filed under: uncultured bacterium
Lineage: Bacteria
Description: partial 16S ribosomal RNA
Rfam family: Bacterial small subunit ribosomal RNA
Source: RNAcentral
AUUGAACGCUGGCGGCAGGCUUAACACAUGCAAGUCGAGCGGGGUGAUGGUGCUUGCACUAUCACUUAGCGGCGGACGGGUGAGUAAUGCUUAGGAAUCUGCCUAUUAGUGGGGGACAACAUCUCGAAAGGGAUGCUAAUACCGCAUACGUCCUACGGGAGAAAGCAGGGGAUCACUUGUGACCUUGCGCUAAUAGAUGAGCCUAAGUCGGAUUAGCUAGUUGGUGGGGUAAAGGCCUACCAAGGCGACGAUCUGUAGCGGGUCUGAGAGGAGGAUCCGCCACACUGGGGCUGAGGCACGGCCCAGACUCCUACGGGAGGCAGCAGUGGGGAAUAUUGGACAAUGGGGGAAACCCUGAUCCAGCCAUGCCGCGUGUGUGAAGAAGGCCUUAUGGUUGUAAAGCACUUUAAGCGAGGAGGAGGCUCUUUUGGUUAAUACCCAAGAUGAGUGGACGUUACUCGCAGAAUAAGCACCGGCUAACUCUGUGCCAGCAGCCGCCGCCG